Molecule: ribosomal RNA, 366 nt
Filed under: uncultured bacterium
Lineage: Bacteria
Description: bacterial SSU rRNA
Rfam family: Bacterial small subunit ribosomal RNA
Source: RNAcentral
ACCCNGGGAAACUCGGGCUAAUACCGCAUACGCUCUACGGAGGAAAGCUGGGGACCGCAAGGCCUGGCGCUAACAGAUGAGCCCAAGUCGGAUUAGCUAGUUGGUAGGGUAACGGCCUACCAAGGCGACGAUCCGUAGCUGGUCUGAGAGGACGACCAGCCACACUGGGACUGAGACACGGCCCAGACUCCUACGGGAGGCAGCAGUGGGGAAUAUUGGACAAUGGGCGAAAGCCUGAUCCAGCGACGCCGCGUGGGUGAAGAAGGCCUGCGGGUUGUAAAGCCCUUUCGGUGGGGAAGAAAAGCUUCGACCUAAUACGUCGAGGUCUUGACGUAACCCACAGAAGAAGCACCGGCUAACUCUGUG